CAGUAGCCGCGGUAAUACAGAGGAUGCAAGCGUUAUCCGGAAUGAUUGGGCGUAAAGGGCUCGCAGGCGGUUUCUUAAGUCUGAUGUGAAAGCCCCCGGCUCAACCGGGGAGGGUCAUUGGAAACUGGGAAACUUGAGUGCAGAAGAGGAGAGUGGAAUUCCACGUGUAGCGGUGAAAUGCGUAGAGAUGUGGAGGAACACCAGUGGCGAAGGCGACUCUCUGGUCUGUAACUGACGCUGAGGAGCGAAAGCGUGGGGAGCGAACAGGAUUAGAUACCCCAGUAGUCCCUGUCUCUUAUAC
This 301-nucleotide ribosomal RNA is filed under the name uncultured bacterium. Its description in RNAcentral is "partial 16S ribosomal RNA". It matches the Rfam family "Bacterial small subunit ribosomal RNA", at positions 509 to 807 of the family's 1533-position model. The record is from RNAcentral.